This is a small nucleolar RNA of Ursus americanus (American black bear), 138 nucleotides long. The record is from Ensembl. NCBI's taxonomy places the organism in Eukaryota, Metazoa, Chordata, Mammalia, Carnivora, Ursidae.
UUCCAAAGAGAUUCCUUCUCCAGGGGACACGUCGUAUACUCCAGGCAUGCAGCCCCUUGGAAAAAUAUCUGGUAUUCUUGAGCAUGUUGUAGGUGAACGAUUAUGCUAUUUUUACUCUCCUUAUAAUUAUCAGUAUAC